CUAAAAUCUUAUGCAAAUUUGUCAAGAGUUUUAAAUACUAGUUUGCUUUGCAAAUUGUUCAAAAAAAUAUUGAUGUAUGUUUAACUAGUGAUAAUUUAAUAAGUGUGGGUAUGGAAGAAUUCAGUAAAGAUAUCACUAUGACAUCACGAUCACUCAGGACUACUAGAGUUAUUUAUUUUUGCUGUAUUUAUUUACAAUUAUUUAAAUCUCCGGCCAAUAUUCCGAACUUUACUUGAACUGACAAUUGACAACUAUCGGGGAUGAUGGGCCUUAUAUACUCGGCAGAACGCUGUUCCAGAAAAUUCCCGCUAACCUUCGAGACGUCGUGCGGUGUACCACCUGUGUCAUUCCGGAAUGACAGAGAAUCAGCUAGUUUCGCCAUGCUUACCAUAUCUUUACAUUAUUGUGUAAGAAAUAAGUACUUGUAUUUAUGAAAGAAAGUUCUUGCUCUACUUAUACAAUGGUUAAUUUAGCUGGAGUACAUUAUUCUUUAAAUGACAUUUUUGUGUAAAUCUCAACAAAAUAAACAUCUUUUUUGUUA
Molecule: long non-coding RNA, 541 nt
Organism: Anthonomus grandis grandis
Lineage: Eukaryota; Metazoa; Arthropoda; Insecta; Coleoptera; Curculionidae
Exons: 2
Source: RefSeq, a predicted model, not a curated record